AUGCACAAACUGUUGUGUUUUUUUGGUAACUCACGGCUGUGUGUAGCUCUUGUAUGUCUUCGAAAUACUUAUGCAUAUUGUUGUUGGUACAUAUCUUCAGUACAAGUUUGGAAGGCCAGGAUGUUCUACCACCGGCAUACACCAAGUUCACAGACAUUGCAUGGAGUGAGCCGCCGCCGCCAUAAAAAAUGGUUUAUUAGCAUACCGUUUUUUGGUACUUGUGCAUACGGUUGUAGAAGUGAAAUUUGUUGGGUGCAUGUGCAGAAAAAUCGUCAGUUCAGUUUUCAAAAAUUCUGGAAGUUUGUUUUGAUUCUAUAA
This 318-nucleotide ribosomal RNA is filed under the name Triticum aestivum (bread wheat). Its description in RNAcentral is "partial small subunit ribosomal RNA". Lineage: Eukaryota; Viridiplantae; Streptophyta; Magnoliopsida; Poales; Poaceae. The record is from RNAcentral.